UCUAGAGGCUUUCGAUUACUUUUCCUUCGGAAUGUCCUUUUUCGGUUUCUCAGUUUGGUGGUUUUGAAUACUCUAGCAAUACUGGGAGAACAGGAUUUCUUAGUGAUGAAAAUCUUCAUUUUAAGGACUUUGUUUUUGAGGAGCCAUGUGAAGCUCAGACUCUCACAAGUCAAGAAGGUCUUCAGACUCCCAAUGUGAGUAGUCAGCGCUUGUCUGUUGGGAUGACACCCAAAACCCUUAGGCUGUCGAAACCUAGUGAGAUGCUUCUCUCUGUCCAUGGA
Molecule: non-coding RNA, 281 nt
Organism: Arachis ipaensis
Lineage: Eukaryota; Viridiplantae; Streptophyta; Magnoliopsida; Fabales; Fabaceae
Source: RefSeq, a predicted model, not a curated record